RNAcentral lists this ribosomal RNA (459 nucleotides) under uncultured bacterium. RNAcentral's name for it is "partial 16S ribosomal RNA". It matches the Rfam family "Bacterial small subunit ribosomal RNA", at positions 338 to 795 of the family's 1533-position model. The record is from RNAcentral.
CCUACGGGAGGCAGCAGUGAGGAAUAUUGGUCAAUGGGCGGAAGCCUGAACCAGCCAAGCAGCGUGCGGGAUGAAGGCCCUACGGGUCGUAAACCGCUUUUGCACGGGGAUAACACCCUCCACUUGUGGAGGUCUGCAGGUACCGUGCGAAUAAGGGCCGGCUAAUUCCGUGCCAGCAGCCGCGGUAAUACGGAAGGCCCGAGCGUUAUCCGGAUUCAGUGGGCGUAAAGGGAGCGUAGGCGGGCUUUCAAGUCAGCUGUAAAAUCGCUCGGCUCAACCGAGCCGGGCAGUUGAUACUGGACGCCUUGAGUUCACAACAGGCAGGCGGAAUUCGGGGUGUAGCGGUGAAAUGCAUAGAUAUCACGAGGAACCCCGAUGGCGAAGGCAGCCUGCCGGGGUGCGACUGACGCUGAGGCUCGAAGGUGCGGGUAUCAAACAGGAUUAGAUACCCUUGUAGUC